GCCUCGGUGGCCCAGCCCGGUAGGGCAGCAGCCUUGUAAGCUGCAAACCGGGGGUUCAAAUCCCCUCCGAGGCU
RNAcentral lists this transfer RNA (74 nucleotides) under Thermoproteota archaeon. RNAcentral describes it as "tRNA-Thr". It matches the Rfam family "tRNA". Rfam says of the family: Transfer RNA (tRNA) molecules are approximately 80 nucleotides in length. Their secondary structure includes four short double-helical elements and three loops (D, anti-codon, and T loops). Further hydrogen bonds mediate the characteristic L-shaped molecular structure. tRNAs have two regions of fundamental functional importance: the anti-codon, which is responsible for specific mRNA codon recognition, and the 3' end, to which the tRNAs corresponding amino acid is attached (by aminoacyl-tRNA synthetases). tRNAs cope with the degeneracy of the genetic code in two manners: having more than one tRNA (with a specific anti-codon) for a particular amino acid; and 'wobble' base-pairing, i.e. permitting non-standard base-pairing at the 3rd anti-codon position. Lineage: Archaea; Thermoproteati; Thermoproteota. RNAcentral also lists the same sequence under 1 other name. The record is from RNAcentral.